This 370-nucleotide ribosomal RNA is filed under the name uncultured Bacteroidales bacterium. Its description in RNAcentral is "bacterial SSU rRNA". It matches the Rfam family "Bacterial small subunit ribosomal RNA", at positions 22 to 391 of the family's 1533-position model. The record is from RNAcentral. Lineage: Bacteria; Pseudomonadati; Bacteroidota; Bacteroidia; Bacteroidales.
GCUCAGGAUGAACGCUAGCUACAGGCUUAACACAUGCAAGUCGAGGGGUAGCAGGGUAGCAAUACCGCUGACGACCGGCGCACGGGUGAGUAACACGUAUCCAACCUUCCCAUAACUCGGGGAUAGCCUUUCGAAAGAAAGAUUAAUACCCGAUAGUACUUAUAUAAGGCAUCUUAAAUAAGUUAAAGAUUUAUUGGUUAUGGAUGGGGAUGCGUUCCAUUAGAUAGUUGGUGAGGUAACGGCUCACCAAGUCUUCGAUGGAUAGGGGUUCUGAGAGGAAGGUCCCCCACACUGGUACUGAGACACGGACCAGACUCCUACGGGAGGCAGCAGUGAGGAAUAUUGGUCAAUGGGCGAGAGCCUGAACCAG